CACCCGUUUUUGUGGCCUUUUUCCGCUGGACGAACUUGGCGCCCCAGCCGUCGGGCGGUUAUUUUUGGGUACGGCUUCGCCCAUGGCCUAUUUUUGGCACACGGAGGCCGCUCGCAAAGUCUAGCAGCAUUCCGAGUCCGGCGGACGAAGUGGGCCAGCAUCACUCCCCAAGGCUAUUGCCCACCCGUUUUUGUGUCCUUUUUCCGCUGGACGAACUUGGCGCUCCGGCCUUCGGGCGGUUAAUUUUGGGAGCGGCUUUGCCCGCGGCCUAUUUUUAGCACGCGGAUGCCCCUCUUAAAGUCUUGCGGCAUUCCAAGUCCGGCGGAUGAAGUUGGCCAGCAACACCCCCCAAGGCUAUAGCCCACCCGUUUUUGUGGCCUUUUUCCGCUGGACGAACUUGGCGCCCCGGCCUUCGGGCAGUUAAUUUUGGGUGCGGCUUUGCCCGCGGCCUAUUUUGAGCACGCGGAUGCCCCUCGCAAAGUCUCGCGGCAUUCCGAGUCCGGCGGACGAAGUUGGCCAGCAUCACCCCCCAAGGCUAUAGCCCACCCGUUUUUGUGGCCUUUUUCCGCUGGACAAACUUGGCGCCCCGGCCGUCGGGCGGUUAUUUUGGGGUGUGGCUUCGGCCGUGGCCUAUUUUUGGCACACGGAGGCCCCUCGUAAAGUCUCGCGGCAUUCCGAGUCCGGCGGACGAAGUUGGCCAGCCCCACCCCCCAAGGCUAUAGCCCACCCGUUUUUGUGGCCUUUUUCCGCUGGACGAACUUGGUGCCCCGGCCUUCGGGCGGUUAUUUUUGGACGCGGCUUUGCCCGCGGCACAUUUUUGGCACACGGAGGCCCCUCGCAAAGUGUCGCGGCAUUCCGAGUCCCGCGGACGAAGUUGGCCAGCCCCACCCCCCAAGGCUAUAGCCCACCCGUUUUUGUGGCCUUUUUUCCGCUGGACGAACUUGGCGCCCCGGCCUUCGGGCGGUUAAUUUUGGGCGCGGCUUUGCCCGCGGCCUAUUUUUGGCACGCGGAGGCCCCUCGCAAAGUCUCGCGGCAUUCCGAGUCCGGCGGACGAAGUGGGCCAGCAUCACCCCCCAAGGCUAUAGCCCACCCGUUUUUGUGGCCUUUUUCCGCUGGACGAACUUGGCGCCCCGGCCGUCGGGCCGUUAUUUUUGGGUGCGGCUUUUCCCGCGGCCUAUUUUUGGCACACGGAGGCCCCUCGCAAAGUCUCGUGGCAUUCCGAGUCCAGCGGACGAAGUUGGCCAGCAUCACUCCCCA
RNAcentral lists this long non-coding RNA (1257 nucleotides) under Citrus x clementina. Its description in RNAcentral is "Citrus clementina (C. clementina) long non-coding RNA (CCLE_LNC006275)". The record is from RNAcentral. Lineage: Eukaryota; Viridiplantae; Streptophyta; Magnoliopsida; Sapindales; Rutaceae.